Molecule: long non-coding RNA, 1914 nt
Organism: Macaca mulatta (Rhesus monkey)
Lineage: Eukaryota; Metazoa; Chordata; Mammalia; Primates; Cercopithecidae
Source: Ensembl
GGAUUUCCACUAAAGAAAGAGAAAAAAAAAAUAGUGGAAAUAAUACGAUCAAAUUUAUUUAGAAAGUAAAAGAACAGAUAUAUGGAAAAAAAGAACUGCUAUAUAAAUGUGAGUGAGAAUAUUGAAACAAUACUAUUAUACUAAAUGUGUGGUGUACCAAACCCUCUUAUAAACAAUGCAAAACUCAAAGAGGAAUAAAAUCUGAUUCAUUUUGUCAAAGAUCAAAACUAGGGUUAAAUCUAUAUAUUUUCCACAAAACUCUAUCUAACUGGGAAAUAUGUACAUACAUAUGUAAGUUCUAAGAUGAAAACCAUACCAUCUCUAUUUUUGAAUAGAAGAACCUAGAAACAUCACUUUUAUGUCUAUUUUCAAAGAAGCUCAAUAAUGUACAGAAGAAGUAUCCUUCAGCAUUGCCUUUCUUUUUUUUGCAGUCUUCUGGCAUCUACUGAAAUCAACAAAAGCUUCAAUGGCAGAAGAACAUCAGCAGAUAAGCAGGAGACAAUACUGAAGAAUUGGAAUGAUGGCUCGUUGUUUGCAAAAAUAGUAAUGUACAUCUUGAUUUGAAAAUGUUCCUGACCACCAGAGAAGAGGCUCAAAGAGGAAUAGAAGACUUCUUCUCACUCGUGAAACUGGCUAAUAGAGUCUACUGUAUUUUAACAAACAUCUGUUUUUCCAUAAGCUCUCAGAGAGAAAAGGAAGACUCUUCUAGAUUUUGUCCAAAUUCAAAAGUAGAAGACGAUAUGACUUCAUAGUCUAGGAUUGGUAUCAGUAAACAAAUAUGCUGGUAUCUAAAGAGGCACAGUAAAAAUAAAUGGUUUAGACAACUCUUCUGAAACCAAUGAUGUUUCAACUGAUUGUUUACCAUAGAUCGGUUUGUUUUUCUUCCAGGCUUCUCUCUUUUCCAUUUACGGGAAUUGUCAUCCCGGACUCUUUGGCACUUCUUCUUUCUCCACUCCACCAAUGAGGAAAAAAUACUGCUGUGUUUUUGGACGGGGUUAAUCGAUUAAAAAUCCUGAAUCCUCUUCACUGUGACUAGGAACACAUGAGAAAGAAAGGAAAGCAGAGACACAGGAAGGGAGAGAGGGAAUACAACCUUUCUAUUUGGUUGGAUUUUACAUUGUCUGAUUUGAGGGUAUUGGAAGGAAUGAGGAGAGAGAAAGUAAGCCCAUUUUAGUUCUUGGAGAACCUGUGACUUUCAACCUAGUAUUAUGGUUAAUAUUAAGCGUCAACUUGACUGGGUUGAAGGAUGCAAAGUAUUGUUUCUGGGUGUGUAUGUGAGGGUGUUGCCAAAGGAGAUUUACAUUUGAGUCAGGGGACUGUGAGAGGCAAACACAGCCUUAAUCUGGGUGGGCACCAUCGCCUCAGCUGCAGCACAGCAAAAGCAGGCAGAAGAGGGUGGAAUGAGAUGACUCGCUGAGUCUUGCGGCCUCCAUCUUUCUCUGUGCUGAAUGCUUCCUGCCCUCCAACAUCAGACCCCAGAUCUUUGGCCUUUGGACUUGUGGACUUACACCAGUGGCUUGCCUAGGGCUAUUGGUCCUUCAGCUACAGACUGAAGGCUGCACUGUCAAUUUCUCUACUUUUGAGAUUUUGGGGCAGGGACUGAUCCUCUACUGGCUUCCUUGCUCCUCAACUUGAAGACGGCCUAUUGUGGGACUUUACCUUGUGACCACGUGAGUCAGUUAUUUUUAAUAAACUCCCUUUCAUAUAUACACAUAUCCUAUGAGUUCUGUUCCGCUAGAGAACCCAGACUAAAUCACCUAGCUUUUAUAUGUAAUCACAGAAUCACCGUAAUUUCUCCUAAUUUAGCUCUUGCUUUUGGCUACUGGCUGAGAAUACCCUUAGAUUUUCCAUUAACCAAUUCUCUCUCUAAAUGUUCAACCAGGCUGGGCGCGGUGGCUCACGCCUGUAAUUCCA